AGCUCCGAGUGAGGCAAGAUGGGGACAAAUGAGAACUAGAGCUCAGCUAUAAGAGUUGUGUGUGCCAGGAGGGAGAUGGACCAGAAAUGAACUGGCAUUUCCUGGGGAAUCCAAAGACUUACGAUGUAAAUAACUUGCAUGUAUUUCUUCAUGUAGUUUUCAUCCUAUCCAUUUGAUAUUUGAAUUCUUCUUUCACAAAUGAAAUUAAAGAAAUUGAAUGAUUCAUCGGUGGUCACGAAGGUAAUAACUGGGAAAACGGGCACUUCAACCUGAGAUUUGAUGGGUGCAAGAGCUGACAUGGCAGAAGCAGUUUGUUGUGUUGUCUCCAAUGACACAUGACAAUCUUCCUCCUUAAUUAGGAACAGGAUGUAUGCAUGAUUUAUAUCUGCAAGCUAUGACUCUCCAAGAGGUGAAGUCUCAGUUGUUAGUAUUUGAAAUAUCCUCUAUAAACCCUAAAGUUAGUACAAC
Molecule: long non-coding RNA, 468 nt
Filed under: Bos taurus (domestic cattle)
Lineage: Eukaryota; Metazoa; Chordata; Mammalia; Artiodactyla; Bovidae
Description: long non-coding RNA NONBTAT006174
Source: RNAcentral